RNAcentral lists this ribosomal RNA (253 nucleotides) under uncultured bacterium. RNAcentral's name for it is "partial 16S ribosomal RNA". It matches the Rfam family "Bacterial small subunit ribosomal RNA", at positions 524 to 776 of the family's 1533-position model. The record is from RNAcentral.
UACAGAGGGGGCAAGCGUUGUUCGGAAUUACUGGGCGUAAAGGGCGCGUAGGCGGCCUUCUAAGUCGGACGUUAAAUCCCUGGGCUCAACCCAGGAACUGCGUCCGAUACUGGGAGGCUUGAAUCCGGGAGAGGGAUGUGGAAUUCCAGGUGUAGCGGUGAAAUGCGUAGAUAUCUGGAGGAACACCGGUGGCGAAGGCGGCAUCCUGGACCGGUAUUGACGCUGAUGCGCGAAAGCCAGGGGAGCAAACGGG